RNAcentral lists this ribosomal RNA (63 nucleotides) under Amanita princeps. RNAcentral's name for it is "partial 25S ribosomal RNA". Lineage: Eukaryota; Fungi; Basidiomycota; Agaricomycetes; Agaricales; Amanitaceae. The record is from RNAcentral.
AUGUUGACCUCAAAUCAGGUAGGAUUACCCGCUGAACUUAAGCAUAUCAAUAAGCCGGAGGAA